GGAAGAAAAAUGGCGUGAGGCCCUCCUCCCCGCCUUGAUGAUGGAGAAGCAGUCACACACACUGGAGCACAAAGGAAUCACCACUGUCACACAGACAACACGAAGGUGCCUGUUCCAGACUCGUGGAGAGGAGCUUCCUCCCACUCACCAGCCAGCAAGGCUCUGAAGAAGCCAGACCCUCUCCCAUGGGAGAAGACAGCUGCACUACGAGGCCCUGCCAUCAGCCCUGUCACUCAGGCUCCGCCAUGCCCACGAACAGAUGCCUGCUCUCAGCCCUAAUGCACUGUGGACCUAAUCAGCUCUUAGAUUAUCAAAGCAGCUGUUGCCAUAGAAAGAAAUGCAAUGUCAUUAGCUCUGCACUGAUUACUUUGGAUGUGAGCAAGACAGCACAGUGAAGAAGAGUUCAGAGGUCUGUAGGAUAUUUAUUUUGAAACCAAUGCAUCUUCUACAUCUACAAACUUGAAAUCUCUUCCCUCCCCCCCCCAAUAACCUGGGACCAAAUUUUUCAAGAUGUUUAACACCUAAAACUCAGAAAGUUCUUAGUAUAAUUCCUUUGAUUCCAAUAUAUUGAUAUCAUGUCCUACAGGUUCACAGUGAUACUUAAAAAUACCCUGAAUGCUCUUGACAAUGCACUGAGUGCCUGUCUGCAGCUCUGGGUGCCUGCACUUCGGAGAAUUUGUCCUUCCUGCAUCAUUAUUCAGUAGCCAUGGAAAGAGAUAGCCUCCAUCAAAUUCCCCUAAACAGAUGUUUAUGUGAAAGAUCCUGCUGUCCAACAGGCACUAACUGGCAAGCCAAUAGGCAGUCCCAGCAGUAAGACCAGUGGUUCAAUGGGAUCAGAGACAAUUAACACACUAGGGAUUAAUUUUCCUUCUGGCUUUGCUGAAUUGAGAUUCACAGAUCACAGCAUUUUUGCAAUGAGAAUUACUGAACAGGACAAAAGUACUCAAAAUUAUUCAUCUAAUUUCACAUUUUACUAGAAAACCUAGAAAGAAAAAGAAAAAAAAAAGGAAAAUCUCUUCUGAUCACUUGAAAUACUUUAGACCAAAGAAAUAUAUUAGAGAAAGAAAAAAUGAGACAAAGCCAGACUUCAGCUUCACCCAAUCACAUAAAGAAUAUGAGGUUUAAUAAUGCCUGAAUGUUUCUAGUCUCAUCUCUACUGCUGCAUGUCGUUGUGAUGCUAGCACUCGAUAAAUAAUAAAUUAUACUACUGCUGCUUGUGAGUGACCUGG
Molecule: long non-coding RNA, 1229 nt
Filed under: Anas platyrhynchos platyrhynchos (common mallard)
Lineage: Eukaryota; Metazoa; Chordata; Aves; Anseriformes; Anatidae
Description: lncRNA (ENSAPLG00000026566.1)
Source: RNAcentral